Molecule: ribosomal RNA, 497 nt
Filed under: uncultured bacterium
Lineage: Bacteria
Description: partial 16S ribosomal RNA
Rfam family: Bacterial small subunit ribosomal RNA
Source: RNAcentral
GAUGAACGCUGGCGGCGUGCCUAAUACAUGCAAGUCGAGCGAACAGACGAGGAGCUUGCUCCUCUGACGUUAGCGGCGGACGGGUGAGUAACACGUGGAUAACCUACCUAUAAGACUGGGAUAACUUCGGGAAACCGGAGCUAAUACCGGAUAACAUGUUGAACCGCAUGGUUCAAAAGUGAAAGACGGUCUUGCUGUCACUUAUAGAUGGAUCCGCGCCGCAUUAGCUAGUUGGUAAGGUAACGGCUUACCAAGGCAACGAUGCAUAGCCGACCUGAGAGGGUGAUCGGCCACACUGGAACUGAGACACGGUCCAGACUCCUACGGGAGGCAGCAGUAGGGAAUCUUCCGCAAUGGGCGAAAGCCUGACGGAGCAACGCCGCGUGAGUGAAGAAGGUCUUCGGAUCGUAAAACUCUGUUAUUAGGGAAGAACAAAUGUGUAAGUAACUGUGCACGUCUUGACGGUACCUAAUCAGAAAGCCACGGCUAACUACGUG